This 655-nucleotide unclassified non-coding RNA is filed under the name Zea mays. Its description in RNAcentral is "misc RNA Zm00001eb234040". Lineage: Eukaryota; Viridiplantae; Streptophyta; Magnoliopsida; Poales; Poaceae. The record is from RNAcentral.
UUUGGUAGUGUUAUCGACUCGACUCAGGUGAGGCCUGAAAGGUCUCGUCCAUCGAGGUCGUCUAGCCGUGGUCCUCGCUCUAGUACCCAAGGAAACGCCGAGCUGAUCCGGAUGCAGGAAGCUUUGAGGCGGCAGGAGGAGUAUAACAAGCAACAACAAGAGUAUUGGGCUGCUCAAUUUGCACGACAGCAGGAGAUGAUGCAGCAAAUAGCACUAGGGCAACGUCCAGAUUUUUCAGCGAUGACUAUGCCACCUCCUCCACCUAUCCCGCAGUUUGUACCGACUCCACAAUUUAGUUGGCCCACACCUGCACCUCAGGUCCCUCCAGGAAACUUGCUAACUCCGGGAAAUGAGGACUCUGAAGAUGCGGUCGCUUCUUUUGUGGACGGUCUUCUAAACAGUGGAGGAGCUAGCGGAUCAAAUCAACCACAUCCAUUUGAUCAACCUCCUCCAUUUGAGUAGCCUGUCUGCUUGUGUGUUUCUCGUACUAUGGACUUGUGAACUUGUGGUAUUGGGAACUUGUGUUAUUGUGAACUUGUGAACAUUGUGAAUUUGUGAACAUUGUGAACUUGUGCUUUAACUUGUGAACUUGUGUUAUUGUGUGUUUCAUGUGGUAUUGUAUGUGAUUCUGGAUGAAAACUGGAUAUUGUGUGCA